CCUUCUACUCCUACGGGAGGCAGCAGUGGGGAAUAUUGCACAAUGGGCGCAAGCCUGAUGCAGCGACGCCGCGUGAGGGAUGACGGCCUUCGGGUUGUAAACCUCUUUCAGUAGGGAAGAAGCGAAAGUGACGGUACCUGCAGAAGAAGCGCCGGCUAACUACGUGCCAGCAGCCGCGGUAAUACGUAGGGCGCAAGCGUUAUCCGGAAUUAUUGGGCGUAAAGAGCUCGUAGGCGGUUUGUCGCGUCUGCCGUGAAAGUCCGGGGCUCAACUCCGGAUCUGCGGUGGGUACGGGCAGACUAGAGUGAUGUAGGGGAGACUGGAAUUCCUGGUGUAGCGGUGAAAUGCGCAGAUAUCAGGAGGAACACCGAUGGCGAAGGCAGGUCUCUGGGCAUUAACUGACGCUGAGGAGCGAAAGCAUGGGGAGCGAACAGGAUUAGAUACCCUGGUAGUCCAUGCCGUAAACGUUGGGCACUAGGUGUGGGGGACAUUCCACGUUUUCCGCGCCGUAGCUAACGCAUUAAGUGCCCCGCCUGGGGAGUACGGCCGCAAGGCUAAAACUCAAAGGAAUUGACGGGGGCCCGCACAAGCGGCGGAGCAUGCGGAUUAAUUCGAUGCAACGCGAAGAACCUUACCAAGGCUUGACAUGGACCGGACCGCCGCAGAAAUGUGUUUACCCCCUUG
This 684-nucleotide ribosomal RNA is filed under the name Arthrobacter sp. Its description in RNAcentral is "bacterial SSU rRNA". It matches the Rfam family "Bacterial small subunit ribosomal RNA", at positions 329 to 1022 of the family's 1533-position model. The record is from RNAcentral. Lineage: Bacteria; Bacillati; Actinomycetota; Actinomycetes; Micrococcales; Micrococcaceae.